UGGCAAACAAAUGGAGCCUUAACUUAUUCAAAAUUUGAGCUCCAACUGGACUCAAAAUUAGCUAAAGUUUUAUAAAAUUUCACUUUCAAAAUUCAACUUGAUUCAACACAAAAGUUGAAUUAUUUGAGGAGGUUGUCAGGCCUUGGCCCUUAAAAAUAAAAACUUAUAGUUUAGUCUAUAUAGAAAUAAUAAAAUUAUAAUUUAAUUUAUAGUAAAAAUUAUAUUUUGAUCCUCUUAAAAAUUAAAAAAAUUUUCUUUCUAUUUAGUCUUUUAAAAAAUAACGAAAUUAUAAGUUAAUACAUGAUAAAUUUAUAUUUUAAUUUCUUAAAAUUUUAUAAUUCAAUUCCAACCCGCUAAAAAAGUUUCUGGCUUCGCUCCGAUUAUUUCAGCUCACUAAAUUAGAUUUACAAUCGCAGAUUAAAAAAACAAAUAACAUAUUUAUUGCUAUAACGCAGGUUUUGGCAAUCAUGAACAUCGCUUUGUUUGCAGACCAAACAUUCGACAUAUAGGGUUAAGAAAAUAGGAAAAUAAAAAUAGAACAAGUAAGAAAAAUAUGAUUCAUCACUAAGAAUCAUAUUAAGAAUAGGAGAUUCAGAUUCAUAACCAAAUAUGGGAAAUUAAAAGUAUUACCAUCAAUAGCUUUCUAGUGGGUCGAUAAUGUUUGGAUUUGUUACAAUUGUUGAGAACACAGUUUGGUAGGUAUUGUUCCCUACCUUAUAUCAUGAAAUUGGUAUUAGGCGACGACAUUGGAACCGCAGUUGGGAAGGCAACAUGAGAGACAACCCCUAUUCAAUUACGUUGUUGUUGCAUGGUAGUUUCACUUACGGCCUAUAAGUGGUAUUCCAAAUCCUUCUUCCUCUCUUGGCCAUCACUAUUUUGAAUCUGGUUGCCCUUGCUGUUCAAUUCGUUGCUUUUCUCUCUUUCUAUUAUUUCCACUCAGUCAUUGGGUUCCGAAACAGAAUAUUGACAAAAACCUCAUCUCUUGGGCUAGCUUCACAUAUGUGGCUCAAUAAGGAUUGGACCUACAAAGAUAUCCUCCCCCCUUUACAACUAGAU
RNAcentral lists this long non-coding RNA (1056 nucleotides) under Gossypium raimondii (Peruvian cotton). Its description in RNAcentral is "long non-coding RNA (GRAI_LNC007227)". Lineage: Eukaryota; Viridiplantae; Streptophyta; Magnoliopsida; Malvales; Malvaceae. The record is from RNAcentral.